RNAcentral lists this transfer RNA (72 nucleotides) under Candidatus Woesearchaeota archaeon. Its description in RNAcentral is "tRNA-Arg". The record is from RNAcentral. Lineage: Archaea; Nanobdellati; Candidatus Woesearchaeota.
GGGCCUGUGGCUUAGUUUGGAUAGAGCGGCUGGCUUCGGACCAAAGAAACCUGGAUGCAACCAGCAGGUCGA